GAUGAACGCUAGCGGCAGGCCUAAUACAUGCAAGACGAACGGUAAGUUGAGUAGCAAUACUUAGCCAAGAGUGUCGUACGGGUGCGUAACACGUAUGCAACCUACCCUAUACAGGAGGAUAGCCUAGGGAAACCUGGAUUAACCCUUCAUAGUAUUAUUGGAUGGCAUCAUUUGAUAAUUAAAACUGAGGUGGUAUAGGAUGGGCAUGCGUCUGAUUAGUUAGUUGGCGGGGUAAUGGCCCACCAAGACGAUGAUCAGUAGGGGUUCUGAGAGGAAGAUCCCCCACACUGGCACUGAGAUACGGGCCAGACUCCUACGGGAGGCAGCAGUAGGGAAUAUUGGGUCAAUGGAUGCAAGUCUGAACCAGCCAUGCCGCGUGCAGGAAGAAGGCCUUCUGGGUUGUAAACUGCUUUUGCCAGGGGAUAAAAAUUUCCAUGCGUGGAGAACUGAAGGUACCUGGUGAAUAAGCCACGGCUAACUACGUGCCAGCAGCCGC
RNAcentral lists this ribosomal RNA (496 nucleotides) under uncultured bacterium. RNAcentral's name for it is "bacterial SSU rRNA". It matches the Rfam family "Bacterial small subunit ribosomal RNA", at positions 28 to 518 of the family's 1533-position model. The record is from RNAcentral.